Long non-coding RNA from Amphimedon queenslandica, 596 nucleotides. RefSeq lists it as uncharacterized. NCBI's taxonomy places the organism in Eukaryota, Metazoa, Porifera, Demospongiae, Haplosclerida, Niphatidae. The record is from RefSeq and is a predicted model, not a curated record. The transcript has 5 exons.
AAUUACAAUUUUACAUGUCUGUAGAUUGUGUUUAGACCAGCCUCAUUGCAAUACUUCAUAUUCAUGCAAGUCAGUUCAGAGAUAUGGAGUUUGAUCCCAAUGGUGAUACUUACUUUGAUGAAGCAGUUGAUGGUUUUUGAAGGAUCUCUUCUCCAUUUGGAAGGUGUGAUUCCAUUGAUAAACUCUGUAAAAGGUGUGAGACCAUUAAUUGAAAGAUACAGGACUCACAACAGUUCAAGGACUUCUACCAGUUUACGUUUAAUGUUGCCAAAAACCUGGGCAGAAAGGACUAGGCUAGUGACAUAAUAUUAUACAUAUCUUGAGAUGGCCAUUGCCUACUGGAAUCUUAUUUUUACUGGUUGCUUCAAAUUUUUGGACUUGUGGUGUGAAUUUUUAAGAUCUCAUUAUAAAAAAGCUGGCAAUACCCAAAGACACUUUUAACCUUCUGCUAGAGUUUUCUAACAGGAUUGAUGACACCAUGAGCAAUUAUGAUGAAGAUGGUAGGUCUAUACUGUAUAAAUUGUAAUGUCCUCCUUUUUAAAUAAUUUGUAUUUUGUACAGCACUUUAAUGUAUGGCAGCUUUAUUUCUUUGUAAA